Cottoperca gobio is the source of this 859-nucleotide long non-coding RNA. RefSeq lists it as uncharacterized. The transcript has 2 exons. NCBI's taxonomy places the organism in Eukaryota, Metazoa, Chordata, Actinopteri, Perciformes, Bovichtidae. The record is from RefSeq and is a predicted model, not a curated record.
CGUUACAUUAUUCCCUCAUAGAGGAAUUAUGAAACGUUAUUAAGUUAUUGUUGCAUGUAUGAUUCAGAUCACAUUAGAUGUGUUUAAACUAGAAGUUACUGCUCUCUCUCUGACAGUAAAUGAAACAGCGCUUGCGUUUAAAUUCUUAUUGGACUAGAUUGUGACACGUGACCAGGAAGCGCUCUGUCGCAGCACAUGCGACAACAUUACUUUGUUAAAAUGACACAGUGUGCUGCCAUAUUCCUCCUUUUUAGUCAUCUACUGUCGUUAAACCGUCACAGAGAACAGUUCUUCCCAGGAUCAGGUCCCGGUCUCUGACGUGUACAACUCAUACUUACCUGGCAGGGGAGAUACCAUGAUCAACAAGGUGGUUCACCCAGGGCGAGGCUUGGCCAUUGCACUCCGGCUGAGCUGACCUCUGCGAAUUCCCCAAAUGUGGGAAUCUCGACUGCAUAAUUUGUGGUAGUGGGGGACUGCGUCCGCGCUCUCCCCUGAUAACUGUGUUAAUAGAAAUUAAUAUGAUACUACAUUAAAGCCCUGACGUUUGACGUUGAUUGCUGUGAAGCUGUUUCACUUGUGUCAGAAGUUCCCUGUUUCUCAUGAGCCACUAUAGCAUAACAAGCUCCUGUGAUAAUGUUAUUCAUUUAUAUUUAGUUUAAUUUAAAUAAGUAAAUCUAGAAUGAUCUAAUGAAAUCAGCCACGACUGCCCCCUGUUGUUUAUAGGACGUCUGUCAGUCAGUGAACAAGAGAGGAAUCUGACAAUUGUUCGGUUUGCAGAUUAAAUAUUUGUUGAAGUCUCCUGAAGGUGGAACAAAUAUAUGGUGUUGUAAAGAGUUAACAUUAAAACAAUUGAAACUCA